Molecule: ribosomal RNA, 253 nt
Filed under: uncultured bacterium
Lineage: Bacteria
Description: partial 16S ribosomal RNA
Rfam family: Bacterial small subunit ribosomal RNA
Source: RNAcentral
UACAGAGGUCUCAAGCGUUGUUCGGAUUCACUGGGCGUAAAGGGCGCGUAGGCGGGGAGGUAAGUCGGGUGUGAAAUCCCUCGGCCCAACCGAGGAACUGCGCCCGAGACUGCUUCUCUUGAGUCCCGGAGAGGAAGAUGGAAUUCCCGGUGUAGCGGUGAAAUGUGUAGAGAUCGGGAGGAACACCGGUGGCGAAGGCGGUCUUCUGGACGGUGACUGACGCUGAGGCGCGAAAGCGUGGGGAGCAAACGGG